Transfer RNA from Sugiyamaella lignohabitans, 71 nucleotides. It matches the Rfam family "tRNA". Rfam says of the family: Transfer RNA (tRNA) molecules are approximately 80 nucleotides in length. Their secondary structure includes four short double-helical elements and three loops (D, anti-codon, and T loops). The record is from Rfam. NCBI's taxonomy places the organism in Eukaryota, Fungi, Ascomycota, Dipodascomycetes, Dipodascales, Trichomonascaceae.
AGAAUUAUAGCUUAAGGGUAAAGCCGACCACUCAUAAUGGUUUGAUCAGAGUUCGAGUCUCUGUAAUUCUA